RNAcentral lists this ribosomal RNA (429 nucleotides) under Bacteroidota bacterium. RNAcentral's name for it is "Bacteroidetes bacterium partial 16S ribosomal RNA". It matches the Rfam family "Bacterial small subunit ribosomal RNA", at positions 355 to 776 of the family's 1533-position model. The record is from RNAcentral. Lineage: Bacteria; Pseudomonadati; Bacteroidota.
UAGGGAAUCUUCGGCAAUGGGGGGAACCCUGACCGAGCAACGCCGCGUGAGUGAAGAAGGUUUUCGGAUCGUAAAGCUCUGUUGUUAAGGAAGAACGAGUGUGAGAAUGGAAAGUUCAUGCUGUGACGGUACUUAACCAGAAAGGGACGGCUAACUACGUGCCAGCAGCCGCGGUAAUACGUAGGUCCCGAGCGUUGUCCGGAUUUAUUGGGCGUAAAGCGAGCGCAGGCGGUUAGAAAAGUCUGAAGUGAAAGGCAGUGGCUCAACCAUUGUAGGCUUUGGAAACUGUUUAACUUGAGUGCGGAAGGGGAGGGUGGAAUUCCAUGUGUAGCGGUGAAAUGCGUAGAUAUAUGGAGGAACACCGGUGGCGAAAGCGGCUCUCUGGUCUGUAACUGACGCUGAGGCUCGAAAGCGUGGGGAGCGAACAGG